AGAUGAUGGGGGAGCUGUUCAAAGUAGUGCAGGGGCUCGCCUUGGGGCAGAAAGCAAUGGCUAAGAGGUUGGAGAGGAUUGAAAAAUGGCUAAUAACAGAGAAAGUUCAGGGAAAGGCUCCGUCAUCCGUAGUAAAGAAGCCCUCUGGCAAUGGUCAGCUCAAGAAGGAGGUUGAAUCAGGUGGUGUGAAGGCCAAGAAAGAACGCGGUAAGGAUC
RNAcentral lists this long non-coding RNA (216 nucleotides) under Lathyrus oleraceus (garden pea). RNAcentral describes it as "Pisum sativum (pea) long non-coding RNA (PSAT_LNC018855)". Lineage: Eukaryota; Viridiplantae; Streptophyta; Magnoliopsida; Fabales; Fabaceae. The record is from RNAcentral.